RNAcentral lists this ribosomal RNA (484 nucleotides) under uncultured bacterium. RNAcentral describes it as "partial 16S ribosomal RNA". It matches the Rfam family "Bacterial small subunit ribosomal RNA", at positions 30 to 507 of the family's 1533-position model. The record is from RNAcentral.
AUUGAACGCUAGCGGGAUGCUUUACACAUGCAAGUCGAACGGCAGCGCGGACUUCGGUCUGGCGGCGAGUGGCGAACGGGUGAGUAAUGUAUCGGAACGUGCCCAGUAGCGGGGGAUAACUACGCGAAAGCGUAGCUAAUACCGCAUACGCCCUACGGGGGAAAGCAGGGGAUCGUAAGACCUUGCACUAUUGGAGCGGCCGAUAUCGGAUUAGCUAGUUGGUGAGGUAACGGCUCACCAAGGCGACGAUCCGUAGCUGGUUUGAGAGGACGACCAGCCACACUGGGACUGAGACACGGCCCAGACUCCUACGGGAGGCAGCAGUGGGGAAUUUUGGACAAUGGGGGCAACCCUGAUCCAGCCAUCCCGCGUGUGCGAUGAAGGCCUUCGGGUCGUAAAGCACUUUUGGCAGGAAAGAAACGUCGCGGGCUAAUACCCCGUGGAACUGACGGUACCUGCAGAAUAAGCACCGGCUAACUACGUG